RNAcentral lists this ribosomal RNA (468 nucleotides) under uncultured bacterium. Its description in RNAcentral is "partial 16S ribosomal RNA". It matches the Rfam family "Bacterial small subunit ribosomal RNA", at positions 28 to 507 of the family's 1533-position model. The record is from RNAcentral.
GACGAACGCUGGCGGCGUGCUUAACACAUGCAAGUCGAACGGAAAGGCCCUGCUUUUGUGGGGUGCUCGAGUGGCGAACGGGUGAGUAACACGUGAGUAACCUGCCCUUGACUUUAGGAUAACUUCAGGAAACUGGGGCUAAUACCGGAUAGGAGCUCCUGCUGCAUGAUGGGGGUUGGAAAGUUUCGGCGGUUGGGGAUGGACUCGCGGCUUACCAGCUUGUUGGUGGGGUAGUGGCUUACCAAGGCCUUGACGGGUAGCCGGCCUGCGCGGGUGACAGGCCACACUGGGACUGAGAUACGGCCCAGACUCCUACGGGAGGCAGCGGAGGAGAAGAGUGCACAAGGGGCGGAAGCCUGAUGCAGCAACGCCGCGUGCGGGAUGACGGCCUUCGGGUUGUAAAGCGCUUCCGUCUGUGACGAAGAGUGAGUGACGGUAAUGGGUAAAGAAGCACCGGCUAACUACGUG